Molecule: ribosomal RNA, 773 nt
Filed under: uncultured Neocallimastigales
Lineage: Eukaryota; Fungi; Neocallimastigomycota; Neocallimastigomycetes; Neocallimastigales
Description: partial large subunit ribosomal RNA
Rfam family: Eukaryotic large subunit ribosomal RNA
Source: RNAcentral
GAGAGAGACAUGCGCGCAUAUCAAUAAGCGGAGGAAAAGAAACUAACAAGGAUUCCCCUAGUAACGGCGAGUGAAGCGGGAAGAGCUCAAAUUUGAAAUCUUAAAGGGUUUCCCUUUACGAAUUGUAGUUUAAAGAAGUGUUUUCUGUUGAGGUUUUGGUAAAAGUUCUUUGGAAUAGGACAUCAUAGAGGGUGAGAAUCCCGUAUUUGACCUUUACUUUCAACUUUGUGAUACACUUUCAAAGAGUCGGAUUGUUUGGGAAUGCAGUCCAAAAUGGGUGGUAAAUUUCAUCUAAAGCUAAAUAUUGGCGAGAGACCGAUAGCGAACAAGUACCGUGAGGGAAAGAUGAAAAGAACUUUGAAAAGAGAGUUAAACAGUACGUGAAAUUGUCAAAAGGGAAGCGUUUGACACCAGUGUUGUUUUUCUGAAAAUCAAUUAAAGAACUGUUUAUGCUAAGUUGUUUAGACUUUAUCAGCUAUCUGUUUAGUUUUGAGCUUUUCUUUAAUGCACUUUUCAGUUAACAAGUCAACAUCAAUUUCUUUUGCUGUAAAAAAGCUUGAGGAAGGUGGCUUGAGAUUCGUCUUAAGUGUUUAUAGCCUCUUGCCUAUGCAGUCGGAGAGAUUGAGGUCUGCAGCGUAGAUCCUUCGGGGCUAAAUGCAUUUGUGCUAAGUUAUAGCAUUUUAUAGACAACUUGUUGACUAUGAUUUGUCUUGUAGCUUACUCGCUUAUGUUAUUUUACCUACGCUUAGGAUGUUGAGCGCAUGUCUCUCUCU